AGCAGCCGCGGUAAUUCCAGCUCCAAUAGCGUAUAUUUAAGUUGUUGCAGUUAAAAAGCUCGUAGUUGAAUUUCGGGAUCAAUAUGCUGGUCGUGCCAUUGGUACGUACUAGUAUUAUUGGUUUCUCUUUUCUGAUGAAUCAUGAUGUCAUUAAUUUGAUGUCAUGAGGAAUCAGGACUGUUACUUUGAAAAAAUUAGAGUGUUUAAAGCAGGCUCGCGCUUGAAUACAUUAGCAUGGAAUAAUGAAAUAGGAUGUUUGAUUCUAUUUUGUUGGUUUCUAGGAUUGACGUAAUGAUUAAUAGGGAUAGUUGGGGGCAUUAGUAUUCAAUUGUCAGAGGUGAAAUUCUUGGAUUUAUUGAAGACUAACUACUGCGAAAGCAUUUGCCAAGGAUGUUUUCAUUAAUCAAGAACGAAAGUUAGGGGGUCGAAGACGAUCAGAUACCGUCGUAGUCUUAACCAUAAACUAUGCCGACUAGGGAUCGGAUGAUGUUAAUUUUUUAAUGACUCAUUCGGCGCCUUA
RNAcentral lists this unclassified non-coding RNA (520 nucleotides) under uncultured Glomus. Its description in RNAcentral is "SSU rRNA". It matches the Rfam family "Eukaryotic small subunit ribosomal RNA", at positions 569 to 1090 of the family's 1831-position model. The record is from RNAcentral. Lineage: Eukaryota; Fungi; Glomeromycota; Glomeromycetes; Glomerales; Glomeraceae.